Molecule: ribosomal RNA, 444 nt
Filed under: uncultured bacterium
Lineage: Bacteria
Description: bacterial SSU rRNA
Rfam family: Bacterial small subunit ribosomal RNA
Source: RNAcentral
GGGGAAUAUUGCACAAUGGGCGCAAGCCUGAUGCAGCCAUGCCGCGUGUAUGAAGAAGGCCUUCGGGUUGUAAAGUACUUUCAGCAGUGAGGAAGGUGGGUAUGUUAAUAGCAUACUCAUUUGACGUUAGCUGCAGAAGAAGCACCGGCUAACUCCGUGCCAGCAGCCGCGGUAAUACGGAGGGUGCGAGCGUUAAUCGGAAUUACUGGGCGUAAAGCGCAUGCAGGUGGUUUGUUAAGUCAGAUGUGAAAGCCCGGGGCUCAACCUCGGAAUUGCAUUUGAAACUGGCAAACUAGAGUACUGUAGAGGGGGUAGAAUUUCAGGUGUAGCGGUGAAAUGCGUAGAGAUCUGAAGGAAUACCGGUGGCGAAGGCGGCCCCCUGGACAGAUACUGACACUCAGAUGCGAAAGCGUGGGGAGCAAACAGGAUUAGAUACCCUGGUAG